ACUCUGAAGAAGACCCAGGGAGAGAACCUAUUCUGAAAAGAUUUGUUUUUAGAUCAAAAAGAAUUGUACUCAAGGAAUUGAAGCUAUGGAGCCUCUGCCACAUCUGGACCUGAUUUUGAUGACAAGAUCCUGUACCUCAAGCCCGAGACUAAUUUCAUAAUUUGAUGAAUCUUUUUGGAGAGUCAUGGGAGGAAUGUAAACAAUUUGUGGCCAAAGGAGAAUUAUGGUAGUUUGAAGAUGUGGAUACAAAUUAUUUGACAUUCUUCUCAUAGAAAGGUGAUGCUUAUGUCUCCACCCCUUGUAAACAAGCUGGCUUGUGACUUUGACCUAUAGUGUAUGGUGGGAGUGAUGCUGUGGAACUGGAAUUACUAGCAUCAGGAAACCUACUUGCUACAGACCCAACAACGUGCAAUGAUCAGAUCCCAAUUUAGACUGUAAAAAGACCAAUAUCAGAGACUAAGAACUGAGAUCAAACAUACCUUCUUCCUGUACCAAACAGUUCUGGGGCCAAAUAUUGUCUACUGUCUCUAUGCUAACUAGUACUGAAACCAGGCAAAAUUAACUACUUAGCCGCUUGUUCCAGGAAAUACCUGCUCUCGGAAGAAAUAAGUUAACCCACCUGUAUUAGUCUGUUUUCUGCUGCCAUAACAGAACAUUACAGACUAGAUAAUUACUUUGAAAAGUUUAUUUGACCCACAGUUCUGGAAGCUAGGAAAUCCAAGAGGAUGGCACUGGUGUCUGGUGAGGGUCAUGUUAUAGUGGAGGAGUGGAGGAUGGAAGCAAACACAUGAGACAGAGAGAGAAAUCAGGCCAGACUUACUUCUCUAACAAACCCCAUCUCAAUAACUAACUCAUUCCUAUGAUAAUAGCAUUAAUUAUCUCAUGAAAGCCCUCAUAACCUAAUUACCUCUUAAAGACCCCACAUCAAUAAAAUAUCAACA
Homo sapiens (human) is the source of this 941-nucleotide long non-coding RNA. Ensembl annotates it as long intergenic non-protein coding RNA 2607. Lineage: Eukaryota; Metazoa; Chordata; Mammalia; Primates; Hominidae. The record is from Ensembl.